UAUAAUAGCUCACAUUAAUUCUACAUUCUAAUCUUUAAAUAUCAAGAUAGCUCCAGGACUAAUCUUUGGAAAUGACAAAUAAAGGGAUAUCGAAUGGCCCACUGAAGAGUAAGUGCAAAUUGAAGAUACGUUUCAGUCACCACUCUAAGCAGUAAGUGACCUUUCCAUCCAAAAGGGUUAAACUUAAAUCCCCCUUCCCAUUGUCAUAGUUUGAAAAACACGUAUCUCUAGAGGAAACACAGAAGACAAAAAUAACUCAGGCAGCAAAUAGCUCUCCUAUUCUGCCUCUUUUCUGCAAUCUUCUUUAUAAUA
This 312-nucleotide long non-coding RNA is filed under the name Homo sapiens (human). RNAcentral's name for it is "HSALNT0284183". The record is from RNAcentral. Lineage: Eukaryota; Metazoa; Chordata; Mammalia; Primates; Hominidae.